Molecule: ribosomal RNA, 254 nt
Filed under: uncultured bacterium
Lineage: Bacteria
Description: partial 16S ribosomal RNA
Rfam family: Bacterial small subunit ribosomal RNA
Source: RNAcentral
UACGGGGGGAGCAAGCGUUGUUCGGAUUUACUGGGCGUAAAGGGCGCGUAGGCGGCCACCGCAAGUCGACUGUGAAAUCUCCGGGCUUAACCCGGAAAGGUCAGCCGAUACUGCGGGGCUAGAGUGCAGAAGGGGCAACUGGAAUUCUCGGUGUAGCGGUGAAAUGCGUAGAUAUCGAGAGGAACACCUGCGGCGAAGGCGGGUUGCUGGGCUGACACUGGCGCUGAGGCGCGAAAGCUAGGGGAGCGAACGGG